Psammomys obesus (fat sand rat) is the source of this 2933-nucleotide RNA transcript. It is a transcript of the gene named solute carrier family 19 member 1, with no coding region annotated. The record is from RefSeq and is a predicted model, not a curated record. The transcript is spliced from 7 exons. Lineage: Eukaryota; Metazoa; Chordata; Mammalia; Rodentia; Muridae.
GGUUGAGUUCCUCUUGUCCAGUGAGUAGGUAGGUAGUCAGGGUCUUUGCACGCGCCACUGAGGGCCCAAGUUCAGAGGAGCAUUGCUACCAUAGGCUGGGGGAGGAGCAGUGCUGGUGUGGAGGCCGGGCAUUCAGAUCUGGGUUCCCUACAGGAACUCCCCUACAGGUGACCUAUAGGUGACCCCUGCACCUACCCUCCCUACACCUUGGGAGCUUUUACGCCGGAGUUGCGGGUCAGUCAUUUCUCUUUGGACCCAUGCUCCUCCCCAUUUGUUCACUUCCCUCCUAGUGUGCAUGGUUCUGGGCCUGCCUCACAGGGAAGCGAAGGCUGUGACCCCUGCCCUGCACAAGUGCUCCACCAAAACCCAUCCGGAGGAAAGAGGCCGGCUUCGGGGAGCCCCGCCCCGUUCCACCCCACCCCAAGCUGCCAGCAGCCUUCCAUUCCACCUGCUGAGCUUCAGCUUAGCAUCCCUGCUGGAAACCGGGUGGAGUGUCAUCUUUGGUCACCAGGUCCCAUGAGGACCUGGGCAACAUGGUGCCCACCGGCCAGAUGGCAGAAAAGCAGGCAGGUGAAGAGCCCAGGCAAGACCGUGAGCUUCAGUCAUGGCGGUGCCUAGUGUUCUAUCUCUGCUUCUUUGGAUUCAUGGCACAGUUGCGUCCUGGGGAGAGCUUCAUCACACCCUACCUCCUGGAAUAUCACAACUUCACAGAGAAGCAGCUGACCAACGAGAUCAUCCCGGUGCUUCCCUACUCCCACCUGGCUGUGCUGGUGCCAAUCUUCCUGCUCACCGACUACCUGCGGUACAAGCCGGUCCUGGUCCUGCAAUGCCUGAGCUUCGUGUGCGUGUGGCUGUUGCUGCUGCUAGGCAGCUCCGUAAUCCACAUGCAACUCAUGGAAUUCUUCUACAGCGUCACCAUGGCCGCACGCAUCGCCUACUCCUCUUACAUCUUCUCCCUGGUGCACCCCUCCCGCUACCAGCGCAUGGCCAGCUACUCUCGGACAGCAGUGCUGCUGGGAGUCUUCAUCAGCUCCGUGUUGGGCCAGGUGCUGGUCACCCUGGGACAAAUUUCCCUCAGGACUCUCAACUACAUCUCCCUGGGCUUUAUCGUCUUCAGCCUAGGCCUCUCCCUCUUUCUAAAGCGUCCUAAGCGCAGCCUCUUUUUCAACCGCAGUGCGCUUGUCCACGGAGCUUUGCCCUGUGAGCUGGACCAGAUGCACCCGGGCCCUGACCGACCAGAGCCCGGGAAACUCGGGCGUGUGCUGGCCGCUUGCAGGGACUCCUUCCUGGUGCGCAUGCUAAGUGAACUGGUGCACGAUGCGUGGCAGCCACAGCUGCGCCUCUGGUGCCUCUGGUGGAUCUUCAACUCUGCAGGCUACUACCUGGUCACCUACUAUGUACAUGUCCUGUGGAAAAUAACUGACAGCAGUGUCACCUACAACGGUGCCGUGGAUGCCGCCUCCACCCUGCUGAGCGCCAUCAUGUCCUUCUACGCCGGUUUCGUGAAGAUUCGCUGGGCUCUGUGGUCAAAGCUGGUCAUCGCAGUUGUUAUAGCCAUCCAGGCUGGGCUGGUUUUCUGUAUGUCAGUUGGGAACAUCUGGAUAUGCUACGUGGCCUUCGUGCUUUUCCGUGGGGCCUACCAGUUCCUUGUGCCCAUUGCCACUUUUCAGAUUGCAUCUUCCCUGUCUAAAGAGCUCUGUGCAUUGGUCUUCGGGAUCAACACGUUUCUUGCCACUGCGCUCAAGACUUCCAUCACACUUAUUGUCUCUGACAAGCGGGGUCUGGGCCUCUCGGUUGACUCACAGGCCGAACCCAGAACCAGCAAGUCUUGCCUGUCCCAUUGAAUGGUAGAUCCAGACCAAGCAGGGUACAUAACUCCUCAUCACUGCCCAGCUGCUCUUGGGUACACAGAAGGCAGUGGCUACCUCACAACCUCCAGGUGCAUGCAUGUGGCAGGUCCGGUCACUCCAAAUGGUUGCUGCUGACUUGGUGAGGGUAAGACAUGGGGUCGCUGUCAUAGUGUCGGGUUAAAAUUUCUCGCCAUGAGUCUUGCCUGGCCCCACCUAAAAGGUCCUCCCCGCUUAGGUCCUUUCAGAGGAACUUGAGUGGCAGAUAUCUGCUCUCUAGCUGGGCUAUAUCUGUGUUGGACUUUUGGCUGCUUCAAUUCCAAGAUCCAUGAAGGGGGUGGGGGAAGCCCGGCACUUGCCACUCCUUUAAUGGGUCCUGAGGUCUGACUGGCUGACACUGCUCUCCACCCAGCCCCAGCAGGCGUUGUCCACAGCAUUCAGGGAUUUGACUGGCACAGGAGAAAAAUGGGAAAAGGAUGUCAACUAUGCCUUCUUGGUAACCAGAGUCCCUAACGGUCAUUUCUGAGUUUGCUUUAAAUGUGAUCUUUUCUGAAAGGGUCUCAGGGGGCUUCAGGAAGCUCACCUGCCUCCACUGGGACUGUACAUUUGGCAGUUAUCAGUUUCUGCUCUGGGGGGAAACAGAUCUGGUCCUUCGGGAAGGGGCAUGACCUGUGACUGCCUGGUCCCUCUUGGCCAGUACUGUGCAGUGCUGGCUCGAGGCCGUGCCCAGUCUUGACUGUAGCCAGGGCCUAGAAGCCCUGGGCCAUUGUCCCAGUGCCCUCCUGGCAGCUGUGGAAGCCAGUUCCAUGAAAAGAGCCUGAGGACCAGCUCUGGUGGACCACACAGAUGCCAAACACAUGCUGGGUUCUCUGGGGAUCUUUGGGGAAGUGUUAAGUACCCCUUUUGUGGUUUACCAUGCAUUGAGAGAAAGAGGGAACGAGCCAUCUUGGGGUCUACCCCUGGGCAAGGCUUGUGACUGCUCAGUAUCCUCCGGCCACCCAGGUGUUGGAUGAUGAAGAACCUCAGGAUUCACUGGGUAGGGCAAAGGUGGGGAUGGAUGGAAACCUUGAGGUCACCUAAACUCUC